RNAcentral lists this ribosomal RNA (486 nucleotides) under uncultured bacterium. RNAcentral's name for it is "partial 16S ribosomal RNA". It matches the Rfam family "Bacterial small subunit ribosomal RNA", at positions 30 to 507 of the family's 1533-position model. The record is from RNAcentral.
AUUGAACGCUGGCGGCAUGCCUUACACAUGCAAGUCGAACGGCAGCACGGGUGCUUGCACCUGGUGGCGAGUGGCGAACGGGUGAGUAAUACAUCGGAACAUGUCCUGUAGUGGGGGAUAGCCCGGCGAAAGCCGGAUUAAUACCGCAUACGAUCUACGUAUGAAAGCGGGGGCCCUUCGGGCCUCGCGCUAUAGGGUUGGCCGAUGGCUGAUUAGCUAGUUGGUGGGGUAAAGGCCUACCAAGGCGACGAUCAGUAGCUGGUCUGAGAGGACGACCAGCCACACUGGGACUGAGACACGGCCCAGACUCCUACGGGAGGCAGCAGUGGGGAAUUUUGGACAAUGGGCGAAAGCCUGAUCCAGCAAUGCCGCGUGUGUGAAGAAGGCCUUCGGGUUGUAAAGCACUUUUGUCCGGAAAGAAAUCCUUGGCUCUAAUACAGUCGGGGGAUGACGGUACCGGAAGAAUAAGCACCGGCUAACUACGUG